This 98-nucleotide ribosomal RNA is filed under the name Periophthalmus magnuspinnatus. Lineage: Eukaryota; Metazoa; Chordata; Actinopteri; Gobiiformes; Gobiidae. The record is from RNAcentral.
CCAUACUUCCUUGUCGAAGCCUCUCGUCUAAUUUCAGAAGCUAAGCAGGGCCGACCCUGACUAGUACUUGGAUGGGAGACCACUGGGAAUACUGGGUG